AGUGAAUAGAUACCCGGGUAGUCCCAGCUGUAAACGAUGCGCGUUAGGUGUAUCGGUGACCACGAGUCACCGAGGUGCCGAAAGAGAAAUCGUGAAACGUGCCGCCUGGGAAGUACGGUCGCAAGGCUGAAACUUAAAGGAAUUGGCGGGGGAGCACCACAACAGGUGGAGCCUGCGGUUUAAUCGGACUCAACGCCGGGAAACUCACCAGAUAAGACAGCUGAAUGAUAGUCGGGCUGAAGACUCUACUUGACUAGCUGAGAGGAGGUGCAUGGCCGUCGUCAGUUCGUACUGUGAAGCAUCCUGUUAAGUCAGGCAACGAGCGAGACCCACGCCAACAGUUGCCAGCUCGUCCUCCGGGAUGGAGGGGACACUGUUGGGACCGCCUCUGCUAAAGAGGAGGAAGGAAUGGGCAACGGUAGGUCAGCAUGCCCCAAAUUAUCUGGGCUACACGCGGGCUACAAUGGGUGGGACAAUGGGUAUCGACACCGAAAGGUGAAGGCAAUCUCUAAACCC
This 516-nucleotide ribosomal RNA is filed under the name uncultured bacterium. Its description in RNAcentral is "bacterial SSU rRNA". It matches the Rfam family "Archaeal small subunit ribosomal RNA", at positions 725 to 1239 of the family's 1478-position model. The record is from RNAcentral.